AUAUCAUUAAGCGGAGGAGAAGAAAUUAACUAAGAUUGCCCUAGUAACGGCGAGUGAAGCGGCAAGAGCCCAAACUGGAAAUCUCGUACCUUCGGUACGCGAAUUGUAAUCUAAAGAGUGCUUACUCACCGGGAUGUGGCGCAGAAGUUCCCUCGAACGGGACGCCAGAGAGGGUGACAGCCCCGUAUGUGGUGCCAUAUCCUAACGAGUGGGUGCCCAACGAGUCGGGUUGUUUUGUACUACAGCCCUAAGUCGGAGAUAAACUUCUUCUAAGGCUAAAUAUAUAUGGGAGACCGAUAGCGCACAAGUA
This 310-nucleotide ribosomal RNA is filed under the name uncultured eukaryote. RNAcentral's name for it is "partial large subunit ribosomal RNA". It matches the Rfam family "Eukaryotic large subunit ribosomal RNA", at positions 40 to 350 of the family's 3401-position model. The record is from RNAcentral.